Molecule: ribosomal RNA, 504 nt
Filed under: uncultured bacterium
Lineage: Bacteria
Description: partial 16S ribosomal RNA
Rfam family: Bacterial small subunit ribosomal RNA
Source: RNAcentral
GACGAACGCUGGCGGCGUGCUUAACACAUGCAAGUCGAACGGUGAAGCGCUUGCCUUUUUGGUGGGUGUGGAUGAGUGGCGAACGGGUGAGUAACACGUGAGUAACCUGCCCUCUUCUUCUGGAUUACCUCAUGCAAGUGGGGCUAAUACGGGGUAUUCCGAGUCUGUCGCAUGGCUGGUUAGGGAAAGAUUUCGCCUUUGGGAUAGUUCGGUGGGGGCUGGGCUCGCGGCCUAUCAGCUUGUUGGUGUGGUGAUGGCCUACCAAGGCGGGGACGGGUGGCCGGCCUGAGAGGGUGGACGGCCACACUGGGACUGAGACACGGGCCAGACUCCGGCGGGAGGCAGCAGUGGGGAAUAUUGCACAAUGGGCGCAAGCCUGAUGCAGCGACGCCGCGUGAGGGAUGGCGGCCUUCGGGUUGUGAACCUCUUUCGCCAGUGAAGCAGGCCUGCUCCUGUGUGGGUGGGUUGACGGUAGUUGGAUAAGAAGCGCCGGCUAACUACGUG